RNAcentral lists this ribosomal RNA (1323 nucleotides) under uncultured marine bacterium. RNAcentral's name for it is "bacterial SSU rRNA". It matches the Rfam family "Bacterial small subunit ribosomal RNA", at positions 28 to 1398 of the family's 1533-position model. The record is from RNAcentral.
AACGUACGCUGGCGGCACGCCUAACACAUGCAAGUCGAACGAAGUAGCAAUACUUAGUGGCAGACGGGUGAGUAACAUGUAGGUAUCUGCCCUUUGGCCUGGAAUAACACGAGGAAACUUGUGCUAAUACCGGAUAAGUCUUUACGGAGAAAGCUUUAUGCACCAUUGGAUGAGCCUGCACUUGAUUAGUUUGUUGGUGGGGUAAUGGCCUACCAAGACUGUGAUCAAUAGCUGAUUUGAGAGGAUGAUCAGCCACAUUGGGACUGAGACACGGCCCAAACUCCUACGGGAGGCAGCAGUGGGGAAUCUUGCACAAUGGAGGAAACUCUGAUGCAGCGAUGCCGCGUGAGUGAAGAAGGCCUUUGGGUUGUAAAGCUCUUUCGUCGGGGAAGAAAAUGACUGUACCCGAAUAAGAAGGUCCGGCUAACUUCGUGCCAGCAGCCGCGGUAAUACGAAGGGACCUAGCGUAGUUCGGAAUUACUGGGCUUAAAGAGUUCGUAGGUGGUUGAAAAAGUUGGUGGUGAAAUCCCAGAGCUUAACUCUGGAACUGCCAUCAAAACUUUUCAGCUAGAGUAUGAUAGAGGAAAGCAGAAUUUCUAGUGUAGAGGUGAAAUUCGUAGAUAUUAGAAAGAAUACCAAUUGCGAAGGCAGCUUUCUGGAUCAUUACUGACACUGAGGAACGAAAGCAUGGGUAGCGAAGAGGAUUAGAUACCCUCGUAGUCCAUGCCGUAAACGAUGUGUGUUAGACGUUGGAAAUUUAUUUUCAGUGUCGCAGCGAAAGCGAUAAACACNCCGCCUGGGGAGUACGACCGCAAGGNUAAAACUCAAAUGAAUUGACGGGGACCCGCACAAGUAGUGGAGCAUGUGGUUUAAUUCGAAGAUACGCGCAGAACCUUACCAACACUUGACAUGUUCGUCGCGACUUCAAGAGAUUGAAGUUUUCGGUUCGGCCGGACGAAACACAGGUGCUGCAUGGCUGUCGUCAGCUCGUGUCGUGAGAUGUUGGGUUAAGUCCCGCAACGAGCGCAACCCUCACUUUUAGUUGCCAUCAUUAAGUUGGGCACUCUGAAAGAACUGCCAGUGAUAAGCUGGAGGAAGGUGGGGAUGACGUCAAGUCCUCAUGGCCCUUACGUGUUGGGCUACACACGUGCUACAAUGGUAUCUACAACAGGAAGCAAGACUGCGAAGUUAAGCAAAUCCUUAAAAGAUACCUCAGUUCGGAUUGCACUCUGCAACUCGAGUGCAUGAAGCUGGAAUUACUAGUAAUCGUGGAUCAGCGUGCCACGGUGAAUGCGUUCCCGGGUCUUGUACACACCGCCCGUC